Molecule: long non-coding RNA, 1833 nt
Organism: Astatotilapia calliptera (eastern happy)
Lineage: Eukaryota; Metazoa; Chordata; Actinopteri; Cichliformes; Cichlidae
Source: Ensembl
GCAUGGACAAGCACCAACAUAUAUAAGUGAACUUUUACAUCCAUACAUUCCCAGCAGGUCCCUGAGGUCAUGUGACCAGGGCUUGCUUGCUGUCCAACACACGAGGCUGAAAACAAAAGGCAACAAAGCUUUUGGAACUGUGGCCCCCAGAUUGUGGAACUCUCUCCCUUUGAGCCUGAGAUCUGUGGACUCAGUGGUCGCUUUUAAAAAGCAGCUAAAAACUCAUCUUUUUAAACUUGCUUUUGGUUGAUUUUGAUUUUUAGGUUUUAGCUUCUGUGAAGCACUUUGUGAUUUUUUUAUCUUGAAAGGUGCUAUAUAAAUAAAGUUUUGUUUUACUUACAAACCAAUAAACCAUCAACAAAUCAUGCCGACAAACCCAGCAACCAACUAAACAACAAAUCAAUGUGCCAACAACCAAACUAACCAAGGACUACCCAAAAAAACUAUCUAUAAACCAAAGCAUAACCAAUUUACAGACAAGCCAACCUACUUAACAAUAGAAUCGCCAACAAAUCAACCAACAAACUAACCUACAAACUAAACUGUUAAUCAAACAACAAACCAGUAAACUAGCUAUCACAUGAAACAAACAAACUUGCCAAAAAAUAAUAAUAAAAGAGCCAGCAAACCAACCGAAUUACCCAACAUUACCAACCCACCAUCCGACCAACAAAAUAACAAAUAAACCUACUAUUGAAUCUACAAACAAAACAACCAGAACCAACAAAUAAACUAACCGACAUACAAAACAACCUACAAACUAUGAAACAACUUUACUAAAUGAAUAAACUUAACAUUAACUCAUACGACAGAGCAACACAAGCAGCAAUAACAAAACAAGUAAAAACAAAAAGGCCAAAAAACAAACUAACAAAACCAACCAUCAAAACAACAAGCAAACUUACCAACAAUCACAUAAAGCAACAAAUUAAAUUAAAAAAUAACCAACCAGAAAACCUACAGAAAAAAAACAAAAACAACCAAUAAAAAACCAACAAAUUAACAAAUAGACUGAAAACAAACUAACAAACUAAGCAACAGUAAAGCAAACGUAAAUUAAUAACUAGAAAUCAGGAAAUUAACUAACCAACAGACCAAUGACAUACAGCAUAUAGGGUUUUAAUAAUAUAAAAUAAAAUAAAACUCAGUUUCCAAACCUUAGAAUAACCUGCAAAUUUUUAAUAAAAUACUCAAACUAUACCAUAUCUAAAUAUUUAUUUAAAAUAUAUGGACUGAAAAUGACUUUUUUCAGUCAGUGCAUGAAUGGAGGCCCUGUGUAAGAUUUCAAAAUGAGCUGUACUCUGCUGUGAAAUGCACCAUACAGCAUUGAUUUUAGCUGUUUAGCUGUUUUUUUCAGGUUACUUGACAUACUCUCUCCAUAUUAUCAACUGGUUAGUACCACGUGGGAGUUUUGUACCCGUAGUUGGGAAUUACUGAUGCCAUCUCCGUCUUCAGCUGCAGGCAGCUUUGCUAAGGUUUGAGUGUUUGCAAAAGCUUGUCGGUCAUAAAGAGCCUGUCAAACUUGGAGCCCUGAGAGACGCCUGAGAAUGUAGCAUUCACUGUAAAAAACAUUCCUCCGAAGGUCUUUAAACUCUCUGCAGACAGGCCUGUUUGUCGCCCUACCAUGAGCUCAGGCUGUAAAAUGUCCACCCGCUGAUGGUGCUGAUUGAAGGUGACACUUGGGCACUUUUGGGGCUCGCUGUAGUUUGGACAAAAUCUCUUUCCAGCUUUUGCUCUAUGUACAAUCUCUGAAAGAUACAUUUGAAGUUAUUCUGGCUUUUUUUUAACACACCUUCAAGCACAACAAUGUACUUUGGUUGUUACUGGAUGGAA